This 88-nucleotide ribosomal RNA is filed under the name Linum usitatissimum (flax). Lineage: Eukaryota; Viridiplantae; Streptophyta; Magnoliopsida; Malpighiales; Linaceae. The record is from RNAcentral.
UAUUCUGGUGUCCUAGGCGGUAGAGGAACAACACCAAUCCAUCCCGAACUUGGUGGUUAAACUCUACUGCGGUGACGAUACUGUAGGG